UUACGGUCAUAUCACGUUGAAACAUCGGUUCUCAUCCGAUCACCGAAGUUAAGCAACGUUGAACCAGGUAUGUACCGAGAUGAGUGACUGCUUUGAAAUACCAGGUGGUGCAA
Molecule: non-coding RNA, 113 nt
Organism: Acanthosepion pharaonis
Lineage: Eukaryota; Metazoa; Mollusca; Cephalopoda; Sepiida; Sepiidae
Source: the annotation of a GenBank genome assembly